UGAUCUAUUAAUUUUUCAAUUAUGUAUGUUC
This 31-nucleotide non-coding RNA is filed under the name Rattus norvegicus (Norway rat). Lineage: Eukaryota; Metazoa; Chordata; Mammalia; Rodentia; Muridae. The record is from RNAcentral.